Molecule: long non-coding RNA, 2056 nt
Organism: Haplochromis burtoni (Burton's mouthbrooder)
Lineage: Eukaryota; Metazoa; Chordata; Actinopteri; Cichliformes; Cichlidae
Exons: 4
Source: RefSeq, a predicted model, not a curated record
AAUCAUAUUGUUAGGUAUUUUAGUACCAUGGUAGCAUUUACUGGAUAUUGUUUUAUAGUGACAUUAUGCAGGAAAACUCUGUCAUUCAAUAAGGCCCCUUUGUUUCAGUUAUUUUUCUCUUUGACCCAAGAAUUGAUGUGUGAGAAUCACAGGCUGGUACAAGGUUGAAAUACCACAGAGAUCACUCCCUCAGCUACAUUCGUUUCUAAAUCUCUUAGGAGACGCCUGUUGAAGGCCAAAUGGUUUGUUUCAGAAUUCACUAAUGAAAGAACUCUUUAUUUCGUGCCUUGAAAAUAUGUCGCUGAGAUAAUCACAAUUGUAGCUGAACUGAUAAACUACACAAAGGAUGCUUCUUCACCCAAGGGCAGGACGACGCUCCCUUAUCUUGGUCUGUACUGGUUUAAACUGAUAAUCUGCUGUCUCAUGAAUUUUACCCCCUAUAUAAACUGUUGUACUUGUGAAUAAAGUUGAGUCAAUUUGGGAAGACAACCUGAAGCAGUCUCUGUUUUCUUGUUCUCCCAAGCUGCUCCCGAGCUCGUACUAACACGCUGAAUGGCAUGCUUGAAUGUUACUUGAGAAUAUAUUUGACUGUGUUACAGACUAAGGGACAUUCUCUGCUGAUAGACGUCCACGCCUCGAAGGAAGUCGAUCCACGGAUUAGGCCGUGGAAACCGUUUCCUUCACAUAUGACCCCCUGUGAGCAGCACUUUGGCGACAGCGGGAAGGAAAAACCUUUGGAAGAAACCUCCGGCAGAACCAGGCUCAGGGAGGGGCGGGGCCAUCUGCUGAAUUGACAAAGUGAAGAGAUGAGCAAAGCUGUCAUGAAGCGAUCUGAAACAUGUCCCUGUCACGACCUGCGGGAUCAGCAAGGAGCUGGUCAUUAUGUUCGCUCUCUUUCUCGCUCUCCUGUUUUGCUGGGGCGGACAUCAUGGUGGGUUCACGCCCUCGGCCCACGCCUCCCUGUAUUGGAAACACCUGGACCUCAUCAGGACCAGCCGGUAUUGAAGAGGGGAGAGGUCUGCUGUUUGGCGCUGGAUUGUUGUUAAACUCCCGUCAGUUACAAGUUCAGGCCAAAGUUUCUCGUGCCCGUGUGCAGAAUAUUAACGUGCAUUUGUUUGUAUCGAGAUUCCUCGGACCAUCCCGUUGUUCCAGGAGCAGUGUGUGGAAGGAGCGGCUGGUCACAAAGCUGAGAGAGAGGGAGGAGCGUGUGUGUGAUCCUCUUUUCCCCAGAUUCCUGGAGGUCUGCCCCCCUCACGUCUUGUAUAUAGCACUAUCCCCGCACAGCCUGUAAAUACACUCGGUGAAGAGAUUGUAAACAAACUUUCAUUGUUAACUCGCUACUCAGCAGUGGUGUGUCCAGCGGGGUGGCCUGGGGGGGCACAGGCCACCUCCCCAACCAGACUGACCACCCAGGUUCCACCCCGAAGGUAAAACAAUAAAAUUCAAUCAAAUAGCCAAUGUACGAUUAUGUUUUCACCGUGAAGCUCAGAUAUCCGAGUGUAAGUGAAUGCAGCAUCGGCUUCUGCACUAUGAGCAUCAGGUUAGCAAAGGUAGGAGAGCCAAGCUCGAAAGAGGCACCGCGGAAAAUAAUUUUUCAGCGAAAGAAAAUGAGGAGAGAAUAAAUGUCCCGGGCCAACCAGUAGAGAUAAAAGAACAGGAAGAAUGAAAAGAUUUCUUCCUUAAGAAGGCUAAAAUACACCCAGAAGCAGAGAACAAUGUCCGCAGUCAUCAUUGUCACCUGUGAGUUCUACAAAUGAAGGUGUGUGAGAGAGAACGAACAAGGAAAAUGCAAGGAAGGGAUGUUCAACCGAUCCAUAGGGGACAAAUCCUAAUAUGUGUAUUGUGCACCUGUUCAUGAUCCACCAGAUAACCAGGAUGCGGUGCCUUUUGAAACAUCAUGUACGACACCGGGCCAUCCACAUGGUCUCCUCCAGCUCAUUGAUCACAGUCUGGACUUUGUCGCUGAACGCCCUCAGAGAGGCGACGCCUUCGCGCAGCUGGUCCUGGAGAACAGAAGGAAGUGACUGCAUGAGGUGGUAACAGCUGCAGGUCAUUC